GUCCAUCAGGUUCACACACUGUAUUUGUUCGAAGUAAUUAUGUGGAAACCUACAAACCUGAUUUUGUUUUCGAAUCUGAUAAGAAUCCAGCUAUGGAGUUUCCCACCGUCUCAAACGUGUACACUCGCUAUUGUGAGAUAAAUCUCUUGCAACGUCAAGGCUGUGUGCGUCAACAAUGGAGUACGGGAAGCAUGCCUGCUAUUCUUAAAACCCAGAGAUGCUUGAUUGGUGAAGAAUUUGUCAGCAUCUUGCAACAAUGUGUUGUCGCACCUGUAAAACAGAGGAGCGAU
RNAcentral lists this long non-coding RNA (290 nucleotides) under Brassica rapa (field mustard). RNAcentral describes it as "long non-coding RNA (BRAP_LNC005899)". Lineage: Eukaryota; Viridiplantae; Streptophyta; Magnoliopsida; Brassicales; Brassicaceae. The record is from RNAcentral.